RNAcentral lists this ribosomal RNA (182 nucleotides) under uncultured bacterium. Its description in RNAcentral is "partial 16S ribosomal RNA". It matches the Rfam family "Bacterial small subunit ribosomal RNA", at positions 1319 to 1500 of the family's 1533-position model. The record is from RNAcentral.
CAUGAAGCUGGAAUUGCUAGUAAUGGCAGGUCAGCAUACUGCCGUGAAUACGUUCCCGGGCCUUGUACACACCGCCCGUCACACCAUGAGAGUUGGAAAUACCCGAAGCCUGUGAGCUAACAGUAAUGAGGCAGCAGUCGAAGGUAGAAUCAAUGAUUGGGGUGAAGUCGUAACAAGGUAAC